RNAcentral lists this ribosomal RNA (460 nucleotides) under uncultured bacterium. RNAcentral describes it as "partial 16S ribosomal RNA". It matches the Rfam family "Bacterial small subunit ribosomal RNA", at positions 338 to 795 of the family's 1533-position model. The record is from RNAcentral.
CCUACGGGAGGCAGCAGUGAGGAAUAUUGGUCAAUGGGCGGAAGCCUGAACCAGCCAAGUCGCGUGAGGGAUUAAGGCCCUGCGGGUCGUAAACCUCUUUUGCCGGGGAGCAGUGGUCCGGACGCGUCCGGACCGGGAGAGUACCCGGAGAAAAAGCAUCGGCUAACUCCGUGCCAGCAGCCGCGGUAAUACGGAGGAUGCGAGCGUUAUCCGGAUUUAUUGGGUUUAAAGGGUGCGUAGGCGGGCAUUUAAGCCGGCGGUCAAAUGUCGGGGCUCAACCCCGGCCUGCCGUUGAAACUGAUGUUCUUGAGUGGGCGAGAAGUAUGCGGAAUGCGUGGUGUAGCGGUGAAAUGCAUAGAUAUCACGCAGAACUCCGAUUGCGAAGGCAGCAUACCGGCGCCCAACUGACGCCGAAGCACGAAAGCGUGGGUAUCGAACAGGAUUAGAUACCCUGGUAGUC